GAUGAACGCUAGCUACAGGCUUAACACAUGCAAGUCGCAGGGUAACAUGAGGACAGCUUGCUUUCCUUGAUGACGACUGGCGCACGGGAUAGUAACGCGUAUCCAACCUUCCCAUAACUACGGGAUAACCCGUUGAAAGACGGCCUAAUACCGUAUGAUAUCGUGUGCUGACAUCAAAUAACGAUUAAAGGCUUAGCGGUUAUGGAUGAGGAUGCGUCUGAGUAGCUUGUUGGCGGGGUAACGGCCCACCAAGGCGACGAUCAGUAGGGGUUCUGAGAGGCAGCUCCCCCACAUCGGAACUGAGACACGGUCCAAAAUCCGAGGGGAGGGAGCAGUGAGGAAGAUUGGUGAAGGGGCGCGAGCCUGAACCAGCCAAGUAGCGUGCAGGACGACGGCGCUAGGGGUUGUAAACUGCUUGUAGGUGAGGAGAAAGGGCGUGACGUGGCAUGUAUUGAAGGUACCACAUGAAUAAGGACCGGCUAAUUCCGUG
This 490-nucleotide ribosomal RNA is filed under the name uncultured bacterium. RNAcentral's name for it is "partial 16S ribosomal RNA". It matches the Rfam family "Bacterial small subunit ribosomal RNA", at positions 28 to 507 of the family's 1533-position model. The record is from RNAcentral.